GGGUCAGUAACUCAACUUGGCAGAGUGCCGGUUUCCAAAACCGGUGGUUGCAGGUUCGAACCCUGCCUGGCCCGCCA
This 77-nucleotide transfer RNA is filed under the name Microbulbifer hydrolyticus. RNAcentral's name for it is "tRNA-Trp". It matches the Rfam family "tRNA". Rfam says of the family: Transfer RNA (tRNA) molecules are approximately 80 nucleotides in length. Their secondary structure includes four short double-helical elements and three loops (D, anti-codon, and T loops). The record is from RNAcentral. Lineage: Bacteria; Pseudomonadati; Pseudomonadota; Gammaproteobacteria; Cellvibrionales; Microbulbiferaceae.